RNAcentral lists this ribosomal RNA (252 nucleotides) under uncultured bacterium. Its description in RNAcentral is "partial 16S ribosomal RNA". It matches the Rfam family "Bacterial small subunit ribosomal RNA", at positions 524 to 776 of the family's 1533-position model. The record is from RNAcentral.
UACAGAGGGUGCAAGCGUUAAUCGGAAUUACUGGGCGUAAAGCGUGCGUAGACGGUAGCGUAAGUCGGGUGUGAAAGCCCCGGGCUCAACCUGGGAAUUGCAUUCGAGAUGCUCUGCUAGGGUGCGGAAGAGGGAAGCGGAAUUUCCGGUGUAGCGGUGAAAUGCGUAGAUAUCGGAAGGAACACCAGUGGCGAAAGCGGCUUCCUGGUCCAGCACCGACGUUCAGGCACGAAAGCGUGGGGAGCAAACAGG